ACUCCUACGGGAGGCAGCAGUGGGGAAUAUUGCACAAUGGGGGAAACCCUGAUGCAGCCAUGCCGCGUGUGUGAAGAAGGCCUUCGGGUUGUAAAGCACUUUCAGUAGGGAGGAAGGUAGUGUAGUUAACACCUGCACUAUUUGACGUUACCUACAGAAGAAGCACCGGCUAUCUCGCGCAGCGCGGUAAUACGGAGGGUGCGAGCGUUAAUCGGAAUUACUGGGCGUAAAGCGCAUGCAGGCGGCCUGUUAAGUCAGAUGUGAAAGCCCGGGGCUUAACCUCGGAAUUGCAUUUGAAACUGGCAGGCUAGAGUCUUGUAGAGGGGGGUGAGAAUUUCAGGUGUAGCGGUGAAAUGCGUAGAGAUCUGAAGGAAUACCAGUGGCGAAGGC
Molecule: ribosomal RNA, 390 nt
Filed under: uncultured bacterium
Lineage: Bacteria
Description: bacterial SSU rRNA
Rfam family: Bacterial small subunit ribosomal RNA
Source: RNAcentral